AAAACUCUGCCGGCGCCAUUGUCGGAGUCCGGUCGCCGCUGCUACUUGAGGUGGCUGCCGGGCUGCUGCCGAACCGGUUCAGAGAUCGCUGCUGUUUCGGUUCAGCUGCUCCUUCUUCGUUCGAGUUGUUGAGACUGUUGCGAAAGUGGCUUGGAACCGAGGUUUUGGCUGCCGGGAUUUUGAUUGUUGAUCUCGGGUCGAGGCGGAA
Non-coding RNA from Arachis ipaensis, 208 nucleotides. The record is from RefSeq and is a predicted model, not a curated record. Lineage: Eukaryota; Viridiplantae; Streptophyta; Magnoliopsida; Fabales; Fabaceae.